Molecule: long non-coding RNA, 311 nt
Organism: Wasmannia auropunctata (little fire ant)
Lineage: Eukaryota; Metazoa; Arthropoda; Insecta; Hymenoptera; Formicidae
Exons: 3
Source: RefSeq, a predicted model, not a curated record
CAAUCAUAUAAGUUAACAUAAAUUGAGUUUUAGUAAACAUUAAGAGAUGAGACUGUCAUGUAUAUCGUUGGCUCUUGCUACAAUCUUUAUUAUGACUAUCACGCUUGCACCCAAAGUUUGGGCUAAGCCUUAUCCAGAUAUCUGUUGGUGCUGUCCUACGUGGCCUACUCCCGCUCCAGCGGAAUAGGAAGUUGACAUUUCUCAUCACUGCAGCACUGAAAAGAUAAUAGCUGCGUCUUCUUCGUGAUGAAACCUGGAAUAAAAUUUGCAGCAAAGUCUGGAAAAAAAUUGGAAUUAAAAUGGAAUAUAUA